GACGAACGCUGGCGGCGUGCCUAAUACAUGCAAGUUGAGCGCUGAAGGUUGGUACUUGUACCAACUGGAUGAGCAGCGAACGGGUGAGUAACGCGUGGGGAAUCUGCCUUUGAGCGGGGGACAACAUUUGGAAACGAAUGCUAAUACCGCAUAAAAACUUUAAACACAAGUUUUAAGUUUGAAAGAUGCAAUUGCAUCACUCAAAGAUGAUCCCGCGUUGUAUUAGCUAGUUGGUGAGGUAAAGGCUCACCAAGGCGAUGAUACAUAGCCGACCUGAGAGGGUGAUCGGCCACAUUGGGACGGAGACACGGCCCAAACUCCUACGGGAGGCAGCAGUAGGGAAUCUUCGGCAAUGGACGAAAGUCUGACCGAGCAACGCCGCGUGAGUGAAGAAGGGUUUCGGAUCGUAAAACUCUGUUGGUAGAGAAGAACGUUGGUGAGAGUGGAAAGCUCAUCAAGUGACGGUAACUACCCAGAAAGGGACGGCUAACUACGUG
RNAcentral lists this ribosomal RNA (497 nucleotides) under uncultured bacterium. RNAcentral describes it as "partial 16S ribosomal RNA". It matches the Rfam family "Bacterial small subunit ribosomal RNA", at positions 28 to 507 of the family's 1533-position model. The record is from RNAcentral.